UACGCAGGUGACCAGCGUUGUCCGGAUUUACUGGGCGUAAAGGGCGCGUAGGCGGUCGUGACAAGUCACUUGUGAAAUCUCCGGGCUUAACUCGGAACGGUCAAGCGAUACUGUCGGACUAGAGUACAGAAGGGGCAACUGGAAUUCUCGGUGUAGCGGUGAAAUGCGUAGAUAUCGAGAGGAACACCUGCGGCGAAGGCGGGUUGCUGGGCUGAUACUGACGCUGAGGCGCGAAAGCCAGGGGAGCGAACGGG
This 254-nucleotide ribosomal RNA is filed under the name uncultured bacterium. Its description in RNAcentral is "partial 16S ribosomal RNA". It matches the Rfam family "Bacterial small subunit ribosomal RNA", at positions 524 to 776 of the family's 1533-position model. The record is from RNAcentral.